CCUACACUCCUUUGCAGGCCAAAGAUCAGUUUCCAGGACAAGCCAACCGAAGCCCUAGCAACGGAGGCUUUCUCUUCAGGCAGCUCAGCACGCUGGUGUUAGUUCACAGUCCCCGGGGGUGACAACCGGGUCACGCUGACCUGGCUAGGCUCCGGCUGGAGGACAGAGAGCUCACAGGGAACGCCAAGUUCAAAGCCGGCGUGUUGAAACCCAGCCAUCUGACCCGUCCUCCAGACAGAGGGCCACUGCCAAGAGCGUCCCCCUCGGCCUCCUCCGGGAGUCUGCUGCAGGGUGUGCGGCCAGCCUCCUCCCAAGCAGGCUGCUGCCUGGGGCACCGGGGACCGAGGAACCGAGGUGUGUCCUGUGGCCCAGCUUCCGGGCCUGUUACUGACCACCUCUGCCAGGACCGAAGGGUGAGCUGUGCCAGGUCUCCGCAGGGCGCAGGCAGAGGCCCCAGGAGCGCGUGAGCUGGAAGGACAGAACGGGAUUCUUCGUUGGAGGACUGCGUCCAUGCCGAGCCGAGGGUUUUCUGACGCUGGCCCACACCAGUGCGAACAGAACAACGUUUCCGUCCCGCCUGAGUCAUUUGGACCCAGCGUGAGUUUGUCAGCCAGGGCCCAGACUGACAGCUGACCUUUAGAGUUUUCCUGCACGGACUGCGAAGGCGCAGACUUCCUCCCGCCAGGCAGCUGGCUCUGGGGCUCUCUCUGUUGUGCCCUCUACCUGGGCAUCGCCGUGACAGCCAGAGUGUGCAGACGGCGGGGAGGGGAGGGGGCUUGUGGUAAUCCCGGGCAUCUGGCCCAACACAGAACCCAGCAGAGAGACCAUGGUUUCCCGGACCCUGUGGUCUAGGGGCAGGAGAGGAGGAAGCAUUUCAUCAAUCGCCCUCUGGGCCCAGCACAGCGGUGCCCAGGGCUCGGAAGCAUGGGCUCUGGGCUACCCUGGCUACGGGGCUUACCUGUGCUGGUUACCUUUGUACAAGUGGCCUACCCUCUCUGAGACACAGUUUCUUCAAGCAUGAAAUGGAGAAUAAUAGCACCUGCUGAGUGUCACAGGAAGCCACCAGCCAAGGAGAGGCAGCCCAGGGCACAUGCAGAGCCAGGAUGUUGUGUCUCUGGCCAAGUCUGACGGAAGGCCACUGUUUCACAGUAAUGCCCAGGUAUCCACCUUGGUCUCUGGGCCAGUGUGAGCCCCUGCUGCCUGCCACAGUGGCCUGGUGGCCACACCUCCUGCAGAUCACCUUCUCCUGCAGGGACCUCGGCAGAACAAACCCCAGCACCCAUCGCUCUCUCAGACCCGAGCAGGACGGCCAGCUUCCUGGUCCUGGGUUUCCACGGGGGACGCGCUGGUUGGGACCAGCAGUCCAUCUCCUCCAGGGUCAUCAGAACCACAGCUGUGACCGCAGUGACCUGAGAGGGCUGGACCGACAUCACACAGGGGCAGCAGAGGACGUGGGGCUCAGGAUGGUCGUGUCCAAGGCCACACUGUGGCCUGUCGGUGCUUCUGGGUCCUCGGGACCUGACCCUGGCCAGCCCAGCUGAGCCGGCCCUGCACUGGGUCCUACGGGGCGAGCACUUGUCACAUGAGUGUCUGGGCCCGAGCCCAGCCCUUGACCUGCUUCCUGAACCGGGAGACGGGCGGCAGUCUCCCCCAAGGUCAGAGAGCCAGUGGGGGACAGCAGAGUGGCCUGACACUUCCAAGCCCCACGGCCAGCUCUGGGUGACCAGGCUUCAUAGCCUGCCCUGUUCCUGAGUGUCGUCGAUCGCUCUGGCAGCCCACUUAGGCCAGCUCCGGGCAGCAGCUCUGCCCACGCCGCUAUGUGGAGCUCUCUGAGGGUUCGGUGGAGGCCCUGCUCCUGUGGCCACCCCACUCCUUCCGUCUUGCCCCCCACUCUAGGAGUGCCGCGAGGCCCACGCAGGCCAGUGAGUGUGGCAAGGGACCAUCACAGGGCAGGGAGCAGGCAAGGCUGGGCGUAGGCCGACCCCCUGGGGGCAGCCUGGACUGAGUCCUGCAGGGACCUCGGGAAAGAAUGGGGUGCGCUCAGCACGGCCAGACGCAGCAUGUGUCCUGGCUCUCUGUCACCGGCUCAGGGCUGUCCCUAGAAGGACUGACAUCUCCAGGGGCCGCCGGCCCUCCAUGACUGAGGAAAGCAGGCUUCGGCUGUCUGAGGACGGCCCUGGGAGAGGGCCGCAGGUGCAGGGGCGGGCCUGGGAAGGGCCGGAGGGGUCAGGCACAGCAGGACUUGGAGAGGGACUACUUCACAGUGAUUUAUUCAGCCAGUGUUUCCUGAGCAGCGACUGCCCACAUGGCCCUGCUCCAGAGGACACAGGACGAGUGCCGGCCACCACACUCUGGUGGGGUAGGGUUCUGAGCUCUCCAUCUGUGAGCAGACCUUCACACACACACUGCAGUGUGGGUGGACAGUGGGGGCACCUCUCAGAGAUGGCGGAGAAGCCCCGGGCCUCCCUCGAGUCUCAGCAGGGUAUGGCUGGAUUCAGCAGGGCUUUCUUGUUGUUGUUUUUUUUUUUUUUGCAAGGAAAGGGACUCUCUGUUCAUUUUUGAGAGUCACCGAUGGCUCCUCUCACCUUUUUCCAUACAGUCUGGGUGAGGCCAUGGUCCAGCCUUCGUCCCCCCCCCCCCCCCCCCCCCCCCCCCCCCCGCCCUCUGAGCCGCCUCCUUCUCCUUCCUGUGCAGGGAGGUUCGGUUCCCAGGAGUAGUGACAGACAAGACGGGAACCGAGCCAGGUGACCGACCACUCAGCCCUUAAACCUUUCCUGCCUCUGGGCUGAGGUCACUUAGCCGGAGGCCACCCUUUUCUGUUGCUGGGAUUUGGGUGACAGUCUGGUAACCCUCUGUGGCCUGGGGUCUGGUGACUGCUCCAACCCAUUGUCCCUCACUCCAGCCCUGCAACAGCCCUCUCCUGGUAAGGGCAGGGGGCCUGGAGGUCAGUCCUGAGGAGGGUCCAGGCCUGUUCCCGCCUCCAGGCCACCCACGUGGGGACCGCGGGAGUCUGCCUCUCGGUUCAGGCAUCACCACCCCCGGCGGCACAGCCACCUCUUUGUGUCCCACUCCCUGUCCCAGCCAUGGACCAAGGGCCCCCUGGAGCAAAACAGGGCUCAGGGAUAAGGGUCUAUGCCACCUCCUGAGGGUAACUCCGGCCUCUGCCGCAGGAAAUCCAGAGACCGGGACUUACCGCAGGUCUGUAGUGGGUGCAGGUUCCAAGUGGCGUGUCCUAGAUCCCCGCUGACCCCUCCACCCGUGAAGAGGGUCCAGCUUGGGGCCUCAUAACGACACAUCCUGAGCAGAGACCUUGGGUGACCUGUGUAAAUGGUGCACAUUCCGAGAAUCUGGCAAACACACCUGCAGUAGCCCCUGUCUCGGGCUCCACGCUCCUCUCCACCCACAGGGUCCAGCCCCACUCCUUGGUCUCUCCCCAUGGGCUCCUGUCCGCCCCUCUCUCUCAGCCUGACCAUGUCUGGCUGCUGCCUUGUCCUGGCCCUGACCCGCACAGGGACCCUUCCUCCCCGACACCCCGUCUGCCCAGCCCCAUGCCAAGGCUGGGUGCAAUCUUGUUCUUCACCCUUCACUGCUCCAUCCCAGGGGCUCUGCCCUGUACCAAGAACAGCGUGGCAACCAUCCGUAGGGCAUGCUGGCCCCAACAGCUGGGCGGUCACCUCCCGGUCCCCGGAACCCCACGACACGGGUGCAGUACUUGUGCUCAUUUUCCAGGCCGGGGAACUGAGAACAAAUGGAAUGGCCACUAAUGUGGCCCUGGGCUCAGCUAAUUUCAGGGGCAGGGUCUCAGCCUCAGGGCCAGGAGGCCUGGUUCUGCAGCCCUUGAGCAGGACAGCCUAAGUAGUGGAGAUGGAGUGGGCGGGAGCUCAGGAUGCAGACUCGGGCCACUGUCCUGCAGUUCCCAUUCUGAAGGUCAAGCGUGGGCCCAGCAAUCGGCCUCUUGAUGCACUGUGCAGCGGGUCAGUUACAAACACUGGCUUAGCCUGGAUCCUGGGAUGUAUCUGGAUGUGGUGGGGCAGGAAGGCCAGCUGUCCCCCUGCCUGGGAGCAGAGAGGGCAGACUGUCAGCUGUUGGGAGAAGUGGAGGGAUGCUUCACCUUCAGGAAGAGCAGCCAGAGGGGAUCCCCGGGAACGCAGAGCGCUCCCGGGCAGACGCAGAGCAGAGGGCUCCGGGGCAGGGUCCGAAUGCCCGAAUUCAAAUCAGCUCCUCCUCCCGGGGGUGGACCAGGUGGCCUGCACAUGCUUCCUCAACUCCGGGGACUUUGGUUUUUCAAGCUGUGUCCUGGGGACGGUGACCCCCUGUUCUAAGUACCUGCCUGGCCCCCAGGAAGUACGUGGUAUCCACCAACCACAGAUCUUACCUCUGGGGCCGGUGGGUCCAAGAUUAGAGAAUUCAGUCAGCAGGGCCGUGUCUGAAGGUUUUGUAGAUCAGCCAAAAAGUUUGCACUUGAUGCAGAAAAACCCCCCGGGGACUGGAAGAGUCUUCAGGAAGCCAGGGGUCUGAUGGAGAGAGCGCAGGAGUCUCCAACCAGCCUCAAGCCCCAGGGACACUGCUAAUGACUGAAGACGUGGGGGGUGUUUCAGCCAUGGUGUGGGCGUGUCCCCAGAAUGUAGGGGAUGGACACCGGGGUGCACCAACAUCCCCCACUGCCCAGGAUGACCAGAGCUGGGUUCAUGUACUGCAAAGAAAAGGCAUUGACCGCUUCCCAUCUGCUGGGCGAGGCCAGGUUUCCCAUAUGUCAUAAGAUGGACUGGGAAGGGUCGGGUGAUUUCUCCUUCCACGCUGGACCUCCCGGGACUCUUAUUUUCCUGUUGACAUUGGCCCUGGGGCCUGGACCCUUCGGCACCAGCUGUGUGGUCCUGAGGCCGGCCCUCUGAGCUCUUCUUUACAGGUCACCCUGGCCAGCGGGGAGCUUGCGAAGACAGGCCCCAGGGACGGCCAGUCCUAGCACUGUCCCUUGUCAGCUCUAGACCGGAGCUACUGCCUUUGACUCUCUGGGCCCCUUUUCUCCCUCUGUAGUGUGUCCUGCCUCCAUGGUAGUGUGGAAGUGAGGGUCUGAAGUCCCCUCCACGUGGCCUGGCCCCAUGGGACCUGAGGCAAGAGAAGCACCUGAGCGUGUGUGUCAUCCACCAGGGGUAGCUGCGGACGGCUGUCUCCAGAGCCUGUGACAACCCUAUCCCUCAGAGGGAAGGCACGGUCCCUGGAACACUCACCUGAGCACGUGGGGUACACGGCACCUUUGUGCAGGGUCUGGGGCUGACCGCAGACUGCCCAGUCCACUGUGACGCUUCAUUAGUCACUGGCCUUAACUGCCCCUGGGUCACAGAAACUAGAAGAGUCCCUCAGAGAGGCAGCAUGGCCCGGGGGCUGGAGCGCCUGGGUUCCCAGUCCUGUCCAGGCAGGAGCCGGCCACGGGGACACAGGCCAAGUGCAUGUCUCUCUGCCUUGGGUCCUAGGGACAUGCAGAUAGCAACAGGCAGCUCAAAGGGCUGCUUGGACUCUGCAUCAAGGUAUGUAAUACCUGGAACAGCACCGACGUGGGUGCCCGGCACAGGGUGGGUGCUGGGGACGGGGCCUGGCCUCGCUUCCCACACUUGACGUAGCAGGCGCAACCGCCACCAGCCUCUGUCAAGCAGGACGGGCUCAGAUAGUCAGCACUAGCAUCACGGGAGCUCCUCACCCCGGCCUGCCCGAGUCAGAACCCUGCAUUGACUGGCCACGUGCCCUCAGUUGGAAAAGUCGACCUCUCCAGGCCGUGGACUUUUUAUCCUCCAAAGGGGGUUCUACUAUCGCCCACUGGCUCCUCUGCCCUCAGGCUGGCAGGAUGGCUGACCUUCUGACCAUUUCUGGACUGUACCAAGCAUUUUUGCUCUUUGCCGCCCCAGGGCUAUUGUGUAUGCUGUCGUGUCUGCUUGGAAUGCUGUCCCUUGGUGCACAGGAUGACCCUGCCAUGCAAGGUCGUCAGAGAGGCCAGCCCUGUCACAUGUAGCUCCUGUACUCUGUGUCCCUGUGCAUUAUUUAUUUCUGGGUGCCAGUCACAGGCUACAAUUGUCUCGUUUUUUAUUUGACUUCACAUCUGUCUUUAGCUCACGCCACAUAAGCUCCCAGAGGGCAGGAGCGGGGUCUUUGUGUAAGUCCAGGAGGAGUGAAGUGGCACAUCCGGGAAGUCACAUGUUAUAGGGCACUUGCCACUGCGCUGGGCAGGGUCGAAGUCCCUCUAACACAAACGGCAUUACGAAAUUAUUGUCGUAAAACGGGCCUCUGCACAGCCCUGGGCAUGGUUUGACCUGCACCUUGGCCUUCACAAAGGCCUCCUGAGUGAAGCCUUGCCCACCCCACCAGGGUGCCCUCCCCAUGCGGGUGGCCCGCGGGUCCCAUCCCAGAGCAGGGCCUCGCCAGGAAGCUGCCUCCUGAAAAUAUGGGAAUCGCCGGCGUGUGCUACCUCCCAGCCCCAAGCCAUCAAACCUCCAAAACUGUUUUCUGCGUUUUCCCGCCGCGCAGCCUACAUUUGUUAACUUUUCAAACAGUAAACGCCACCUGCACAGCGCCUUUAAUAUUUAAUGUAACUAUGAAUUGUUUUGAAAAUAAAGGCAGCCAUGUGGAAACGCA
RNAcentral lists this long non-coding RNA (6624 nucleotides) under Marmota monax (woodchuck). The record is from RNAcentral. Lineage: Eukaryota; Metazoa; Chordata; Mammalia; Rodentia; Sciuridae.